GGGGCAUUGGCGCAGUUGGUAGCGCGACUCGUUCGCAUCGAGUAGGUCAGGGGUUCGAUUCCCCUAUGCUCCACAA
RNAcentral lists this transfer RNA (76 nucleotides) under Corynebacterium kroppenstedtii. Its description in RNAcentral is "tRNA-Ala". It matches the Rfam family "tRNA". Rfam says of the family: Transfer RNA (tRNA) molecules are approximately 80 nucleotides in length. Their secondary structure includes four short double-helical elements and three loops (D, anti-codon, and T loops). Further hydrogen bonds mediate the characteristic L-shaped molecular structure. tRNAs have two regions of fundamental functional importance: the anti-codon, which is responsible for specific mRNA codon recognition, and the 3' end, to which the tRNAs corresponding amino acid is attached (by aminoacyl-tRNA synthetases). tRNAs cope with the degeneracy of the genetic code in two manners: having more than one tRNA (with a specific anti-codon) for a particular amino acid; and 'wobble' base-pairing, i.e. permitting non-standard base-pairing at the 3rd anti-codon position. RNAcentral also lists the same sequence under 1 other name. The record is from RNAcentral. Lineage: Bacteria; Bacillati; Actinomycetota; Actinomycetes; Mycobacteriales; Corynebacteriaceae.